CCGGCACGGGUGAGUAACACGUAUCCAACCUGCCGUCUACUCUUGGACAGCCUUCUGAAAGGAAGAUUAAUACAAGAUGGCAUCAUGAGUCCGCAUGUUCACAUGAUUAAAGGUAUUCCGGUAGACGAUGGGGAUGCGUUCCAUUAGAUAGUAGGCGGGGUAACGGCCCACCUAGCCUUCGAUGGAUAGGGGUUCUGAGAGGAAGGUCCCCCACAUUGGAACUGAGACACGGUCCAA
Molecule: ribosomal RNA, 237 nt
Filed under: uncultured bacterium
Lineage: Bacteria
Description: partial 16S ribosomal RNA
Rfam family: Bacterial small subunit ribosomal RNA
Source: RNAcentral